Drosophila rhopaloa is the source of this 1093-nucleotide long non-coding RNA. RefSeq lists it as uncharacterized. The transcript is spliced from 3 exons. The record is from RefSeq and is a predicted model, not a curated record. Lineage: Eukaryota; Metazoa; Arthropoda; Insecta; Diptera; Drosophilidae.
GCGCAUCGGCCGUCUGCUGACUUUCCGACCGUCACGUAACGCCAGGUCCAGGGACAUCAAAAGCAACACAAAACAACUGCAAACAUAUGACCACCAAAACAGGGUCCCAGUCGAAUGUGAUAUACCAUAUAGUAUAUAGAGUGUGUGCAGUUUAGCAUGCGCCCGCUACAAAUACAUAAAUUAUAUUCUGUUUGCUGCUGCACCUGCAUAUGCAAACAUAGGGUGAAAAUUGGAAAAAAUAAACAGCAAAUUGGAGCCACACGACCUGUCUAAUGACGUCACAAAGAGUUUUUACUAUUACACCCACGAUCCACCUAACAUCUACCAAUGUACUCAAUUAAAUUACAGCUGACGGGCGCCUUAUCAGCGACCUGCUUAUAAUGGCUGAUAAAACCCCCAAAAACAAUAGCAACAUCGAAAAAUAAAAAUAACAACACAUGACUUUCUGACCAUCGCGGGUUACAAAACCCAAAAGCGAGAGAUAAAAGCCAACCCAACUUUAAAGUAAAGAUUAGGCCAGAAAGCAAAUACGAAAUGAAAAUGAAAAAGGCAAACACCAAAUAGAUUUGGAAAUUUGGAAUUGCUUUUUGAAAAUGUUUGGUAAAUAUUGGGACCCGAAAAUUCAGCGGGUAAACAAAGCCAUGAAAUCUGGUUACAGUUUGAGAAGCACUUAAGGGCUUGUGCAAUUGACCUUCGACCACAAACAGCAUUCUAAAAAAGGGAAAGAAAACAAAAAACAACAACGUGGCCCAGAAAAACAAAAAAAAAAGAAGAAACCAAAACAAAAACAUGUGAAAAAUCUAAACAAACACAAGAGGCAUGUGAGUUUUUUUGGUGUAAUCCACACCGGCGUGUAACCCUGACGUCGGGCGAUUGAAAGCUCCUUAAGUGCCAAGUAGAGAUCCAUCGCACGGAAAAAAUGAUCAUAUGGGGCUUAUAUAAGUUAAAUACAUGUAAAAAUAUUCAACAUAUCAUUUGAUUUAAUUUUCUCGCCUAAUAAUUUGAGCUUUAUAUUAAAGCAAUUCAAGUUUUUUCGUAUCGGUCUAAUGUGUAUUAUACAUUUCUAAAUAAAGUUAUUCAAUUUGGAAUCUGA